This 401-nucleotide unclassified non-coding RNA is filed under the name Hevea brasiliensis (rubber tree). The record is from RNAcentral. Lineage: Eukaryota; Viridiplantae; Streptophyta; Magnoliopsida; Malpighiales; Euphorbiaceae.
UAGACUCAUUGAUUGUGGUGCUUUGAAGAGGGCAAUUGAAAUAGUCUAUACUGCAACAUUGCCUAAAGCAUCAAAACCUUUCAUAUACAUGUCAAUCAUUUUGCCGCCCGAGCAUGUUGAUGUGAAUAUACACCCAACAAAGAGAGAGGUAAGCUUUUUGAAUCAAGAGUUCGUCAUUGAGAAGAUCCAGUCUGUAGUAGGGUCAAAAUUGAGAAGCUCCAAUGAGUCGAGGACAUUCCAGGAACAGACUAUGGAUUUAUCUUCAUCUGGUCCAAUGGCCACAAGUAAAGAUUCCACUAAAGAAUCGUCUCCUUCUGGGAUAAAGUCACAAAAAGUGCCACAUAAAAUGGUACGAACAGAUACUUUGGACCCUUCUGGAUGGCUGCACGCUUACAUGCAAA